GAAUAAAAUGGCUGAAAAAAUAAGCGAUAAAUUGUAAAUUUAUUUAUGAGAAUAAUCUCUUUUAUUAA
This 68-nucleotide transfer RNA is filed under the name Papilio macilentus. RNAcentral's name for it is "tRNA-Tyr". Lineage: Eukaryota; Metazoa; Arthropoda; Insecta; Lepidoptera; Papilionidae. The record is from RNAcentral.